Equus asinus (donkey) is the source of this 4350-nucleotide long non-coding RNA. The record is from Ensembl. Lineage: Eukaryota; Metazoa; Chordata; Mammalia; Perissodactyla; Equidae.
GUCACCAACCGGGAAAACCGGAACCAGGGAAAACACAGGGCCACUCUUGGCCCAGAGGGUUUAUCGUCGCUCUGCUCAGAGGCAAGUCCCCGACCUUCACCACCCGCAGGACAAGAAGCAGAGCUGCCGCUUCUCUGACGGAGGCGGUCCCAGUGUGGACGGGUAGAAGGCACUAUUUUGUAGAGUUCAUGUCAUUUGUUUGACAAACACUAUUAAGCCCCCACGGUGUACCAGAACAGUGACAAGUCCUGAAGACAGAGAUGAAUAGGCCUGCCUUUCCCAGACGUGAUCCAGGGAGAGACAGACAUAAGCAAAGGAGGACAGCAACGUGCCAAGUGCUAUCAUGCCAGGAUGCAGCAGCUAAUGGGAGCCCAGAAGGAGGACACCUUGAAGACCACAUUCUCUGGGUAGAACCUGGUAGGAGCCUGCGGUCAGACGAGCAAAGACACUCCAGAGCAAAGAGCACAGAGCGGCGGCGUGAGGUUGCAGAGACCCCACACAGCUGGCUCAGACUUGCUCAGACCCAGCCGGAGAGCUGGGAAGGAGAAAAACAUCGUGAAGCCUGGCACAACCUCGGUUUCUAUUGCUCGUCGGUCACUUUGCCACGGGUGAGUCAUCUGCUCUGAGUCAUGCCUGGCUGAGACGGAAAGGCCAGGAGGAUGCCUCCAAACACACCUGGCUUACGAAAGGACAUCACCAGGGACACGGUCGGUGCCCAGGCACACGCUUUCCUAAGUAGACUAAAAAUUAAAAGAAAAAAAUCCCCUUUACUCUCUCUCUCUCUUUUUCCUCGAAAUUUCCCAUUUCUCUCAGAAUUUGUUGGAGAUGAUUCCUAUGGGGAAUGGGUCUUGGUCACCCACUUUGGACUUUCAGAGGCAGGAGAACAUUUCUGGAAGGAGCCCAGAAAAACCCUGAGGACAAAAUCAGGUUUUUCUUACAUAAGGUUCUUCCUCGAAUGUAUGUGCUACACGGACUGUCACACACGGGCCACCAUCGGACGGCUCCUCCUCUGAGAGCUAUGAAGAUACUGUUUACACAGGGACCACCAAACUGUACCUAAAACAAGGAAAGAUGAGAACCGUCCCAGACCAGAGGAGACUGGGGAGCUGUGACAACUAAACGCACCGUGGUCCCGGAACUGGGUCCUGGGACAGAAGGAGGAGCUGCCUGGAUCCGCGGGCCAGCUCUGCCCCUACGACGGGAGGCAAACCACUCUGCCUCUCCAGGCCUCAGCCUUCUCAUCUGUGAAACAGGUACGGCAGUGGUGGCUAGCCGUGGUGUUCUCGUGAGGGUUAAAGUGACAACCCACAGAGCACCUGGCACAUUGCUGGGCAUGGCAGAGGAAACCCGAUAAACAGGAGCUACAACAACUUUGCCCCCUCAGGGAGAAGGCAUAAACUGCACCCCGCUUCUUCCUCGAGUGUGCCGUCCUUGCCUCCUUGUCAGGGCCAACCCUGAAGUUUAAGGAGCUUGACUCUGAAAACCACCCCAUACAUAAAAGCUCUUUCCCCACCCUCUUGCCUCAAAGCCCCUAAGUUUACCAUUAUAGAUUCAUUUCUUCUAAGCACUUCCCUUCCAAAUGUAAAACUGCUGGCAGAGGUGUGUCAUCAGCUCUUGACACACGGGAACAGACCAGCCUAUGGGGUCCCCAUAGAAAGGGGUCCUGAAAAGGCAAGAGGAAGAAGGGAAAGUGGGGACGCAAGCUCAGCCCUCAGGGUGUGUGGGGGUGACGCUCGGGGACCUUCAAGGACAUUGGGUGUCUGGAAGGAGAUGCUGGUGGUGACGGUGCCACUGGAGGGGAGAGUGGGAAGCCGGAGGGGGACAGAGAAGGGAGCAACAGAAACUACUUUUCACUAGACGUCGUUCCGUGCCCUUUGAGUUUGGUAGCGUCUGCAUCAUGACCUAGGCAAAAUGAAUUAAAUUAAAUAAAGGAGGGGGGAUACUGGUCUCUGAGGGCGAAGGUGCAAGUUACUUCAGACACUCUGCUGGCAGCCUGCCCUGCUCUCACCCUCUCCACCCCGCCCCCUCCCCCCAACGAGAAAAGCUGCCCCAUGAGCUCCUGGACGGCUCAUUCUGGGAACAGCAGCAAUACUUUUUCAGGGUCAAAAUUUGAGACACCAAAACCUUACACAAAAGCACUUCAGAACCGCUGGAGAAGCUCACCAAGGGAAAACGCAGCUUCCCCUAGUGUCGUGACCUCCCGUGAAAGCCGCUGUGUGAGGACUAACGCCGAGCGUCACGUGCAGCUGCACCAUUUGUUUCACCGUUGGACGUCAAUGAGCCACUCCUCCUCCACAAGGACCAGGUGAAGCAAAAUGCUGAGGAAGGAAAUAAUCCCUCCAGGGCCCUGCAGAGGCAUCGGAGAAACCCCGCAUCCUGCCCUGGACUUGAGCUACUAGUAAGACCCGUCCACCACCAGGCGGUAGGGGCGGGGGGAGGCCGUGGACUUGGCAUUCAGAGCCAGGAAAAUCAUCCGGUCCGCACAACCUUGGGCCAAUCACUCGAUUGCUGGGACCCUCACCCUUCUCACCUGUGACACAUAUAGAUCACCACUUACCUUGCCAGUUGUGGAAGCUUUAUACACAAAUAUCCAAAUCCAUGUCAUUACCCCUAAAAAUAACCCAGCACCUCCUGCUAGAUUUUCUCUGUAAAAUGUCCCCGGAUCUUGAAGUUGGAAGGUGUAAUGCAUGGACUUGUGUUCCCCUAAAAAGACACCUUGAAGUCCUAACCCCAGGAACCGUGAAUGUGACCUCAUUUGGAAAUGGGGUCUUUGCAGAUGUAAUUAGUGAAAUUCACAUAAAGUCAUAAUGGCACAGGGUGGGCCUUAAAUCCAGUCUGACUGGUGUCCUGAUAAGAAGACAAGGAACAGAGAGAGAGUACACAGAGGGAAGAUAAUGUGAAGACACGCACACAGGGAGAAGGAGGCCAUGUGACCACACGGGCAGAGAUGGCAGUGAGGCGUCUAUGAGCCAAGGAACACCAAGGAUGGCUGCAACACCAGAGGCUGGGAGAGGGGCACAGAUUCUCCGUCUGAGCCCUCAGGAAGGAACCAACGGUGCCGACCCCUUGAUUUUGGACUUCUGGCCUCCAGGACUGUAAGAGGAUAAAUACCUGUUGUUUUAAGCCCCCGUUUGUGGUCCUUUGUGAUGGCAGCCCCAGGACACCCAUUCAGAGAGUUACCUGGUUUUACUACCUGUCUAAUGCUUGAGUUCUCUUGCCCAGUGGUGAGCUAGCCAGCCUAUGUUUGACUGUCUCUAGUAAAAGAAAACUAACUUCGCACCUACCAAGGCAGCAAUCUCCACCUGUGAAAUGCCACGACUAUCGUAAUAAUCAUUCAGUCAACAAAUACUUAUUGAGCACCAACUAUAUGCUAGGAACUGUUUGGGGCAUGUUGAUACAGUGUAAGUAGGGAGCAGACAAUAAAACCACUCUCGAAUAAGGUCAUUUCUGAUAUUGUCAUGAAGAAAAUAAAUGCUGUAAUAUGACAGAGUGAGUGGGUUGGGGACCAGGAGGAAAUUAUUUUGAUUGUUAGGGAAGGUCUCACUCAGGAUGUGAUACUGGAGGGUGACUUGAAUGACAGGGAGCCAGCCUUGGGAAAAUCUGGCACGAGGAACAGCCAGUGCAAAGGCCCUGAGGCAGAAUGAGCCAGAUGUGCUCAAGGCACAGAAAGCAAGCAGGACUUUUAUUAGUGAGAGAAACAAGCAAGGUCAGUCAGUCCUGACAGCAGACCAAGGCAAGAAGUUUGAAUCUGAUCCUAAGAGAACUGGGAAGCCACUGGCGAGAGACAGGAUUUGACUCACAGUUUUUAAAACAUCACUCUGGCCUGAUAAAGUUCUUAAAACUGAAGUCUGUCUCAGGAUAGCUUUUCUCCUUUGGUUCUCGGGAUCUUGGGCUACUGCAGAGCAAGUUUCAUAAAUGACAGCCCCAGAACCUUCUGGAAUCCUGGCUCCCAAGAAUCUCCAAGACUCUCAGGCUUACCAGCCCUACUUCAUUCACCACUAUAGCAAUUUCCAAUGAUUUUUUCUAUGUCCUGCAUGAAAUGUGAUGCCCGGGAAAGAACACAAUAUUCUAAGCAUGGAGUAGCCCGGAAGCACCCCUUUCUCAUUCCAGAUCUAUACACCUACUGAUCUGCUCCAAGACUGCCCUGGCUUUUCAUUCUGUUUUGUACCCCUGACCUGCCCAGACAUAUCCCAGAUAUCCCCCUGCUGAGCUCCUUCUUGUGAUGUCCCAACCUAGAAAGUGCAACCCAAGCUUGUUAUUCCCUGAUGAGAACAGCUGUGCCCCGUUUAAAAAAAAAAAAAAGUGCCACCGUAACCCCAACAAUACCAUGUAUAAAAAACUGGAUAAAAU